CUACGUGCCAGCAGCCGCGGUAACACGUAAGGGGCGAGCGUUGUUCGGAAUUAUUGGGCGUAAAGGGUAUGUAGGCGGUUAGGUAAGCCUGGUGUGAAAUCUACGAGCUCAACUCGUAAACUGCAUUGGGUACUGCUUGACUUGAAUCACGGAGGGGAAACCGGAAUUCCAAGUGUAGGGGUGGAAUCUGUAGAUAUUUGGAAGAACACCGGUGGCGAAGGCGGGUUUCUGGCCGAUGAUUGACGCUGAUAUACGAAGGUGCGGGUAUCGAACAGGAUUAGAUACCCUGGUAGUCCGCACGGUAAACGAUGGAUGCCCGUUGUUAGGCUGUUUCAGCCUAGUGACCAAGCGAAAGCAUUAAGCAUCCCACCUGGGGAGUACGCCGGCAACGGUGAAACUCAAAGGAAUUGACGGGGGCCCGCACAAGCGGAGGAACAUGUGGUUUAAUUCGAUGAUACGCGAGGAACCUUACCCGGGCUUGAAUUGCAGACGAACGAUUCAGAGA
Molecule: ribosomal RNA, 505 nt
Filed under: uncultured bacterium
Lineage: Bacteria
Description: bacterial SSU rRNA
Rfam family: Bacterial small subunit ribosomal RNA
Source: RNAcentral